GAGGCGAGUCUGAGGGCAGUCAUGCUGAAGGGUUGUGUGUGGACACCUGAAGACCAGAAAAAAACGAAAGGGGCCCCAGGGUCAGGUGCGCACAGCUGCUGUUUUGAAGCAGGUGGAGGAAGGAUUGAAAAGAACUGCAGGUAGGGGAGGGGAGCGGGGCCUCACGGGGCACAGUCGGAAGCUGGGGCCGCAUUCUGAGGCAUCCGGGACUGAUUAAACAGAUGUCCACCAGCGAGGGUCUCAGAACCUCCAGGAGCUUCUCCAGGCUUGGGAUUGGAACAGCCCCCUUGCCGGGGUGCCUACUUGGCCAAGAAGGGCAGAAGGCGAGAGGGAGAGAAACCCAAGCAGGCCCCAUGCCCGGCGGGGAGCCAGACAUGGGGCUCGAUCUCACAACCCUGUGAUCACCACCUGAGUCGAAACCAAGAGUCGGACGCCUCACUGACUGAGCCACCGGGUGCCCCGCUUUCCUUUAUAAUUUUCUUCUAGCAACUGAGGUACGAUUAUCACAGAGAAGGGACCUAGCAAGUCUUUCGAGAUCACUAAUAAGCAGAUGCAUCUACCCGUGUGUUCAUUGGCCCAAAUUCAUGCACCCACCGCCGGCUGGGUGGAGUGAAAUAAGCAGACUUUCCACACAGCUCAGGGUACAAAAGCCAGGUAGUGAGUUCUCUAGACUGUAGAGCGCUGUGGAAGUUUCCUACAGACUCUGAGGCAGAGUGACGCUGUGAGGACUGAUGCCCUGACCAGAUCCCAUGGCUCCUUCUGCUGAUUCUUCAGGGGGGAAACUCAGAAGGGCCACAAGAAGUAUGAUUACACACACACACACACACACACACACACAGGCUCACUCCCAAGAGCAGGAGAGCCCAAAUAGGCCCAAAUGGAUAUGGAAGGCCUCUGAGCCCAAGUUUUCCUGGUAAACAUUGUCCUAAGCACUUUACCUGCUUCUCUGGAUGGAAGCUUAGAACCACUGAGAAAAUACAAGUCAGUGAUCAGCAGCUUUGCUUUUUUUAAUCUCAUGGUAUUAUGUUUAUCAGAAUUUUCACCCCAGAGAGCUGUAAGAUCUUUAUCUAUAUUUUAAAAACUCUUUAGGGAUGCCUGGGUGGCUCAGUCAGUUAAGUGCCUGCCUUGUGCUCAGGUCACGAUCCCCCGUUCUUGGGAUCGAGCUCUCCCCCCCAAUCGGGCUCCCUGCUCAGUGGGGAGCCUGCUUCUCCCUCUCCCUCUG
Molecule: long non-coding RNA, 1222 nt
Organism: Mustela lutreola (European mink)
Lineage: Eukaryota; Metazoa; Chordata; Mammalia; Carnivora; Mustelidae
Exons: 3
Source: RefSeq, a predicted model, not a curated record